GACGAACGCUGGCGGCGUGCCUAAUACAUGCAAGUCGAGCGCAGGAAACUGACGGAACUCUUCGGAGGGCAGGCAGUGGAAUGAGCGGCGGACGGGUGAGUAACACGUAAGGAACCUGCCUCAAGGAUUGGGAUAACUCCGAGAAAUCGGAGCUAAUACCGGAUAGUUCAUCGGACCGCAUGGUCCGUUGAUGAAAGGCGCUUCGGCGUCACCUUGAGAUGGCCUUGCGGUGCAUUAGCUAGUUGGUGGGGUAACGGCGCACCAAGGCGACGGUGCGUAGCCGACCUGAGAGGGUGAUCGGCCACACUGGGACUGAGACACGGCCCAGACUCCUACGGGAGGCAGCAGUAGGGAAUCUUCCACAAUGGACGAAAGUCUGAUGGAGCAACGCCGCGUGAGUGAUGAAGGUUUUCGGAUCGUAAAACCCUGUUGUAAGGGAAGAACACGUACGAGAGGGAAUGCUCGUACCUUGACGGUACCUUACGAGAAAGCCACGGCUAACUACGUGCCAGCCGCCGCGGUAA
Molecule: ribosomal RNA, 524 nt
Filed under: uncultured bacterium
Lineage: Bacteria
Description: partial 16S ribosomal RNA
Rfam family: Bacterial small subunit ribosomal RNA
Source: RNAcentral